GGCCGAUUGGCGUAAUUGGUAGCCGCGGCAGACUCAAAAUCUGUUGCCCGUGAGGGCGUCUCGGUUCGAGUCCGAGAUCGGCCACCA
This 87-nucleotide transfer RNA is filed under the name Hyphomonadaceae bacterium. Its description in RNAcentral is "tRNA-Leu". It matches the Rfam family "tRNA". From Rfam's summary of the family: Transfer RNA (tRNA) molecules are approximately 80 nucleotides in length. Their secondary structure includes four short double-helical elements and three loops (D, anti-codon, and T loops). Further hydrogen bonds mediate the characteristic L-shaped molecular structure. tRNAs have two regions of fundamental functional importance: the anti-codon, which is responsible for specific mRNA codon recognition, and the 3' end, to which the tRNAs corresponding amino acid is attached (by aminoacyl-tRNA synthetases). tRNAs cope with the degeneracy of the genetic code in two manners: having more than one tRNA (with a specific anti-codon) for a particular amino acid; and 'wobble' base-pairing, i.e. permitting non-standard base-pairing at the 3rd anti-codon position. The record is from RNAcentral. Lineage: Bacteria; Pseudomonadati; Pseudomonadota; Alphaproteobacteria; Hyphomonadales; Hyphomonadaceae.